GUGAACGCUGGCGGUAGGCCUAACCCAUGCCAGUCGAACGGCAGCACCGUAAGAGCUUGCUCUUGCGGGUGGCGAGUGGCGGACGGGUGAGGAAUACAUCGGAAUCUACUUUUUCGUGGGGGAUAACGUAGGGAAACUUACGCUAAUACCGCAUACGACCUACGGGUGAAAGCAGGGGAUCUUCGGACCUUGCGCGAUUGAAUGAGCCGAUGUCGGAUUAGCUAGUUGGCGGGGUAAAGGCCCACCAAGGCGACGAUCCGUAGCUGGUCUGAGAGGAUGAUCAGCCACACUGGAACUGAGACACGGUCCAGACUCCUACGGGAGGCAGCAGUGGGGAAUAUUGGACAAUGGGCGCAAGCCUGAUCCAGCCAUACCGCGUGGGUGAAGAAGGCCUUCGGGUUGUAAAGCCCUUUUGUUGGGAAAGAAAAGCAGCAGGUUAAUACCCCGCUGUUCUGACGGUACCCAAAGAAUAAGCACCGGCUAACUUCGUG
Molecule: ribosomal RNA, 491 nt
Filed under: uncultured bacterium
Lineage: Bacteria
Description: partial 16S ribosomal RNA
Rfam family: Bacterial small subunit ribosomal RNA
Source: RNAcentral